CCUACGGGGGGCUGCAGUGGGGAAUAUUGCACAAUGGGCGCAAGCCUGAUGCAGCCAUGCCGCGUGUGUGAAGAAGGCCUUCGGGUUGUAAAGCACUUUCAGCGGGGAGGAAGGCGUUAAGGUUAAUAACCUUGUCGAUUGACGUUACCCGCAGAAGAAGCACCGGCUAACUCCGUGCCAGCAGCCGCGGUAAUACGGAGGGUGCAAGCGUUAAUCGGAAUUACUGGGCGUAAAGCGCACGCAGGCGGUCUGUCAAGUCGGAUGUGAAAUCCCCGGGCUCAACCUGGGAACUGCAUUCGAAACUGGCAGGCUAGAGUCUUGUAGAGGGGGGUAGAAUUCCAGGUGUAGCGGUGAAAUGCGUAGAGAUCUGGGGGAAUACCGGUGGCGAAGGCGGCCCCCUGGACAAAGACUGACGCUCAGGUGCGAAAGCGUGGGGAGCAAACAGGAUUAGAUACCCCUGUAGUC
Molecule: ribosomal RNA, 465 nt
Filed under: uncultured Klebsiella sp.
Lineage: Bacteria; Pseudomonadati; Pseudomonadota; Gammaproteobacteria; Enterobacterales; Enterobacteriaceae
Description: bacterial SSU rRNA
Rfam family: Bacterial small subunit ribosomal RNA
Source: RNAcentral